AUUGAACGCUGGCGGCAUGCUUUACACAUGCAAGUCGAACGGUAACAGCACUUCGGUGGCUGACGAGUGGCGAACGGGUGAGUAAUACAUCGGAACGUGCCUAGUAGUGGGGGAUAACUACUCGCAAGAGUAGCUAAUACCGCAUGAGAUCUAAGGAUGAAAGCAGGGGACCUUCGGGCCUUGCGCUACUAGAGCGGCUGAUGGCAGAUUAGGUAGUUGGUGGGAUAAAAGCUUACCAAGCCGACGAUCUGUAGCUGGUCUGAGAGGACGACCAGCCACACUGGAACUGAGACACGGCCCAGACUCCUACGGGAGGCAGCAGUGGGGAAUUUUGGACAAUGGGCGCAAGCCUGAUCCAGCAAUGCCGCGUGCAGGAUGAAGGCCUUCGGAUUGUAAACUGCUUUUGUACGGAAAGAAAAGCCCUCUUCUAAUACAGGAGGGUCAUGACGGUACCGAAAGAAUAAGCACCGGCUAACUACGUG
This 482-nucleotide ribosomal RNA is filed under the name uncultured bacterium. Its description in RNAcentral is "partial 16S ribosomal RNA". It matches the Rfam family "Bacterial small subunit ribosomal RNA", at positions 30 to 507 of the family's 1533-position model. The record is from RNAcentral.